This 253-nucleotide ribosomal RNA is filed under the name uncultured bacterium. Its description in RNAcentral is "partial 16S ribosomal RNA". It matches the Rfam family "Bacterial small subunit ribosomal RNA", at positions 524 to 776 of the family's 1533-position model. The record is from RNAcentral.
UACAGAGGUCUCAAGCGUUGUUCGGAUUCAUUGGGCGUAAAGAGCUCGUAGGCGGCUGUUCAAGUCGAACGUGAAAACUCGGGGCUCAACUCCGAGCCUGCGUUCGAUACGGGCAGACUAGAGUUCGGCAGGGGAGACUGGAAUUCCUGGUGUAGCGGUGAAAUGCGUAGAUAUCGUAAGGAAGACCAGUGGCGAAGGCGGGUCUCUGGACAGUUCCUGACGCUGAGGCACGAAGGCCAGGGGAGCAAACGGG